Molecule: ribosomal RNA, 117 nt
Filed under: Pteropus alecto (black flying fox)
Lineage: Eukaryota; Metazoa; Chordata; Mammalia; Chiroptera; Pteropodidae
Source: RNAcentral
GUCUACGGCCACGCCACCCUGAACAAGCCCAGUCCCGUCUGAUCUGAAGCUAAGCAGGGUCAGGCCUGGUUAGUACUUGGAUGGGAGACCACCUAGGCAGACUACGUGCUGCAGGCA